AGUGAACGCUGGCGGUAGGCCUAACACAUGCAAGUCGAACGGCAGCACAGUAAGAGCUUGCUCUUACGGGUGGCGAGUGGCGGACGGGUGAGGAAUACAUCGGAAUCUACUUUUUCGUGGGGGAUAACGUAGGGAAACUUACGCUAAUACCGCAUACGACCUACGGGUGAAAGCAGGGGAUCUUCGGACCUUGCGCGAUUGAAUGAGCCGAUGUCGGAUUAGCUAGUUGGCGGGGUAAAGGCCCACCAAGGCGACGAUCCGUAGCUGGUCUGAGAGGAUGAUCGGCCACCCUGGAACUUGGACACGGUCCAGACUCCUGCGGGAGGCAGCAGUGGGGAAUAUUGGACAAUGGGCGCAAGCCUGGUCCAGCCAUACCGCGUGGGUGGAGAAGGCCUUCGGGUUGUAAAGCCCUUUUGUUGGGAAAGAAAAGCAGCAGGUUAAUACCCCGCUGUUCUGACGGUACCCAAAGAAUAAGCACCGGCUAACUUCGUG
Molecule: ribosomal RNA, 492 nt
Filed under: uncultured bacterium
Lineage: Bacteria
Description: partial 16S ribosomal RNA
Rfam family: Bacterial small subunit ribosomal RNA
Source: RNAcentral